UACGUAGGGUCCGAGCGUUGUCCGGAAUUACUGGGCGUAAAGGGCUCGUAGGCGGCCAACUAAGUCGGAUGUGAAAUCCCCAGGCUCAACUUGGGAACUGCAUCCGAUACUGGAUGGCUUGAAUUCGGGAGAGGGAUGCAGAAUUCCAGGUGUAGCGGUGAAAUGCGUAGAUAUCUGGAGGAACACCGGUGGCGAAGGCGGCAUCCUGGGCCAACACUGACGCUGAGUGAGCGAAAGCCAGGGGAGCAAACGGG
Molecule: ribosomal RNA, 254 nt
Filed under: uncultured bacterium
Lineage: Bacteria
Description: partial 16S ribosomal RNA
Rfam family: Bacterial small subunit ribosomal RNA
Source: RNAcentral